Uranotaenia lowii is the source of this 697-nucleotide long non-coding RNA. RefSeq lists it as uncharacterized. The record is from RefSeq and is a predicted model, not a curated record. The transcript is spliced from 3 exons. Lineage: Eukaryota; Metazoa; Arthropoda; Insecta; Diptera; Culicidae.
UUGGAAGCGCAGCCUGGAUCUGCCGAUUUGAGAAAAAAUAGUGUUCCUGGAAAAUAAUCAUAAGGAUAUGGCCAACCGGACAAAAUUCCAACCACUCGCAGGAAAUAAAUAUGGCAAUUUUUUCAGCAAUAAGAUAGGCUAUAAUGUUAUCUGCUAGAGAUUGUGCCCGACGUUGCAAAAAUUGUCAACUUCAACCUAUUAUUGUAAAAAAACAGCUUGAUGAUUUUGGCUGGAUGUUUGGUUGCUGGAUGAAGAUGCAAGAUUUUAGCCAUAACUUUCAAAAAUUUAUUCUAUGUUUUAUCCUAUAGUGAAACGAAACCCCACUAAGAAAGGCAGGUCCCAAAAGUGUCGAUUUAACCAUCUUUAAUAUGAUGAUCAAUUUGCGGUUUCCAUGGACGUUUCUAAUUCAUGCACUCCUCAUGAUAGCAGUUCCGAUUAUCCGUACAUACGAAGAAUUUCUUGAAAAUAAAUCAUGAUUGGACCUGAUAAAAUUGGUGCCCUUCCAACUGCAAAGACGCAUGCACCAAGGAGACAAUCCCGGAUAAGUCUAUAUGCUUACCCCGUCAUCCGUGAAUAACAAAAACGGGAAACAUGAAAAGUAGAAUUGGGGUUCUUUUCCCUCUCAGAUUGCCGAAACAAUGAGAGAUAAAAAAAUGUGUAAAGGAUGUGAAGAUAAACAUAUUCAAUAAAAAUUCAC